CUCUGCCUGAUUUCUAAAACUGCAAUCUGAUUUCCUGAAGUGGAGACCAGUGGGCCGAUAAAUGACCGUUGUACCUAUGGAUAAGAAACGGUCACAGCUGGUGACACAGAGUCCGCGUCUGCUUCUUUCUUCCCAUCUGAGAGCUACAGCUACAGCAUCCAGCCAGAUAAGCACAUUUACUGUGACACUAUUAGCAGGGAAGGUACCCUUGUCAAGGAACUAGUAGACGGGGUGGCAUAUUCCAGGCCACUACAGCCACUGCCUCUGACCUGAAAACGGAUAUAUUGGAUUUAGUCUGCCGGACAUGUGCUGAUUAUCAAGUUGCACCAUAAAGAAAAAGCAGCUCAUGUAGAGUUUUCUCCCGAACGCUUUAUGAGACGAAGGUUAAACACACAGGCAUGAACCCACACAGCCGGGACAAAAAUCCACAGAAGACUCCAGGUUUAUUUCUCACUGAAGGAAUCUCAUCAUCAGUACAGCUCAUUAUCGAGUUCUUCAGGAGGGGAUUUUCACGAACAAACCUCAUGCUUGUUUGUUUAAAGCUUUCGUACAAAUUUGCAGGUGAUGAGAGCAACCUUCACUCGGAUAAAAGAACAGGCCAAGGUACUGAUUGGAGAAAAUUACAUGAAGUUUUUUAAUCAAAGUCUCUGUGGUCGACUGUCUGAUUUUCUAGGCCAGAUGUCAAAUGCUUUUCACUGAUGUCGAUGAGGUCAUCACUGAGCCGAUUCCAAGUCUGCCUAAGUGAGACUGUAACAGUGUUUCAUGUCAGUUCCAGGGAAGGUCUUUCCCCAGCCCUGAGCAGAGUAACUGGGUUCUGUAUAUUGAUGGAAACCGCGACUGGGAAUUCUUACAGCAUUUCACAACUUUCCUACAAACGCCUGAUUAUGCACGAACCUGAAGCCUUGCAGUCCAGAUGGGAAGCAACCUGCAAUUACCAAUAUGCUUAUAUUUUCAAGAUUCCUAUUUAACUUAACAUGCAAUUAAACAUUUAUUGUUUAAUCUAUU
Non-coding RNA from Heterocephalus glaber (naked mole-rat), 1005 nucleotides. Lineage: Eukaryota; Metazoa; Chordata; Mammalia; Rodentia; Bathyergidae. The record is from RefSeq and is a predicted model, not a curated record.